RNAcentral lists this long non-coding RNA (538 nucleotides) under Mytilus galloprovincialis (Mediterranean mussel). Lineage: Eukaryota; Metazoa; Mollusca; Bivalvia; Mytilida; Mytilidae. The record is from RNAcentral.
CUUUGAACUUAUCCUCUGAAACCACACCACAGAAUUUCAUGUAACCUUGUAGAUAAUAAGGACAUACUAUGCAUAGGCGGAUCCAGGGGGGCCCUGGGGGGCCCGCCCCCUCCCCCUUUUCGUGGAAAAAAUUUGGUUGAUUAUAUAGGGAAUUACUGAAGCAUGACUGGAGCGCCCCCCCCCCCCCCUUUAGGUCAGUCAGCGGGCCCCCCUUAGGAAAAGUUCUGGAUCAGCCACUGCUAUGUAGAUGUACAUAUCAACAGGAAAUUAUGAUUCAUUUUUUUUUCUUAUACAACAUUUUUUUCUUACAGUUAUUUUAUUCCUCCAGUGACAAUGUGGGGACGUGGGGCAUGUAAGCGCGCUCACUAAGGUUCUUUAAUUUUAUUUCUCCACGAAAAUAUUUGCACAUUAUUUGGGGUUUGGCCAAAGGAGUAUGUAUUUGGUCAUUUUUAGAGUAAAAUGAUAGCCUUGGAUCCUGGCUGACUGUUCGACAGAAGAGCCAGGUGGAAUACAACCUGGUUUGUCAAUAGGAUAUUAG